RNAcentral lists this ribosomal RNA (490 nucleotides) under uncultured bacterium. Its description in RNAcentral is "partial 16S ribosomal RNA". It matches the Rfam family "Bacterial small subunit ribosomal RNA", at positions 30 to 507 of the family's 1533-position model. The record is from RNAcentral.
AUUGAACGCUGGCGGCAGGCCUAACACAUGCAAGUCGAACGGUAACAGGAAACAGCUUGCUGUUUCGCUGACGAGUGGCGGACGGGUGAGUAAUGUCUGGGAAACUGCCUGAUGGAGGGGGAUAACUACUGGAAACGGUAGCUAAUACCGCAUAACGUCGCAAGACCAAAGAGGGGGACCUUCGGGCCUCUUGCCAUCGGAUGUGCCCAGAUGGGAUUAGCUAGUAGGUGGGGUAACGGCUCACCUAGGCGACGAUCCCUACCUGGUCUGAGAGGAUGACCAGCCACACUGGAACUGAGACACGGUCCAGACUCCUACGGGAGGCAGCAGUGGGGAAUAUUGCACAAUGGGCGCAAGCCUGAUGCAGCCAUGCCGCGUGUAUGACGAAGGCCUUCGGGUUGUAAAGUACUUUCAGCGGGGAGGAAGGGAGUAAAGUUAAUACCUUUGCUCAUUGACGUUACCCGCAGAAGAAGCACCGGCUAACUCCGUG